This 265-nucleotide ribosomal RNA is filed under the name uncultured bacterium. RNAcentral describes it as "partial 16S ribosomal RNA". It matches the Rfam family "Bacterial small subunit ribosomal RNA", at positions 793 to 1055 of the family's 1533-position model. The record is from RNAcentral.
GUCCACGCCCUAAACGAUGACGACUAGUUGUUGGGGAUUUAACAUCCUUAGUAACGUAGCUAACGCGUGAAGUCGUCCGCCUGGGGAGUACGGUCGCAAGAUUAAAACUCAAAGGAAUUGACGGGGGCCCGCACAAGCGGUGGAUGAUGUUGUUUAAUUCGAUGCAACGCGAAAAACCUUACCUACCCUUGACAUGCCAGGAACUUCCCAGAGAUGGGAAGGUGCCCGAAAGGGAACCUGGACACAGGUGCUGCAUGGCUGUCGU